Molecule: ribosomal RNA, 500 nt
Filed under: uncultured bacterium
Lineage: Bacteria
Description: partial 16S ribosomal RNA
Rfam family: Bacterial small subunit ribosomal RNA
Source: RNAcentral
AUUGAACGCUGGCGGAAUGCUUUACACAUGCAAGUCGAACGGCAGCACGGACUUCGGUCUGGUGGCGAGUGGCGAACGGGUGAGUAAUGUAUCGGAACGUGCCCAGUCGUGGGGGAUAACGUAGUGAAAAUUACGCUAAUACCGCAUACGAUCUAUGGAUGAAAGCGGGGGAUCGCAAGACCUCGCGCGAUUGGAGCGGCCGAUAUCAGAUUAGGUAGUUGGUGGGGUAAAGGCCCACCCAGCCAACGAUCUGUAGCUGGUCUGAGAGGAAGACCAGCCACACUGGAACUGAGACACGGUCCAGACUCCUACGGGAGGCAACAGUGGGGAAUUUUGGACAAUGGGUGAAAGCCUGGUCCAGCCAUGCCGCGUGCAGGAUGAAGGCCAUCGGGUUGUAAACUGCUUCUGUACAGAACGAAAAGGUUGCUACUAAUACUAGGAGCUCAUGACGGUACUGUAAGAAUAAGCACCGGCUAACUACGUGCCAGCCGCCGCAGUAA